Molecule: ribosomal RNA, 227 nt
Filed under: uncultured Actinomycetales bacterium
Lineage: Bacteria; Bacillati; Actinomycetota; Actinomycetes; Actinomycetales
Description: partial 16S ribosomal RNA
Rfam family: Bacterial small subunit ribosomal RNA
Source: RNAcentral
UGGGUAACACGUGAGUAACCUGCCCUUGACUUUGGGAUAACUUCAGGAAACUGGGGCUAAUACCGGAUAGGAGCUCCUGCUGCAUGGUGGGGGUUGGGAAAGUUUCGGCGGUUGGGGAUGGACUCGCGGCUUAUCAGCUUGUUGGUGGGGUAGUGGCUUACCAAGGCUUUGACGGGUAGCCGGCCUGAGAGGGUGACCGGCCGCAUUGGGACUGAGAUACGGCCCAG